GAUGAACGCUGGCGGCGUGCUUAACACAUGCAAGUCGAACGGAAAGGCCAGUGCUUGCACUGGUACUCGAGUGGCGAACGGGUGAGUAACACGUGGGUGAUCUGCCCUGCACUUCGGGAUAAGCCUGGGAAACUGGGUCUAAUACCGGAUAGGACAAUGGUUUGGAUGCCGUUGUGGAAAGUUUUUUCGGUGUGGGAUGAGCUCGCGGCCUAUCCGCUUGUUGGUGGGGUAAUGGCCUACCAAGGCGUCGACGGGGAGCCGGCCUGAGAGGGUGUACGGGCGCAUUAGGACUGAGAGACGGCCCAGACUCGUACGGGUGGCAGAAGGGGGGAAGAUUGCACAAUGGGCGCAAGCCUGAUGAAGCGAGGCCGCGGGGGGGAUGACGGCCUUCGGGGUGUAAACUCCUUUCGCUAGGGACGAAGCGUAUUUGUGACGGUACCUAGAGAAGAAGCACCGGCUAACUACGUG
Molecule: ribosomal RNA, 468 nt
Filed under: uncultured bacterium
Lineage: Bacteria
Description: partial 16S ribosomal RNA
Rfam family: Bacterial small subunit ribosomal RNA
Source: RNAcentral